Molecule: unclassified non-coding RNA, 279 nt
Filed under: plant metagenome
Description: partial contains small subunit ribosomal RNA, internal transcribed spacer 1, and 5.8S ribosomal RNA
Source: RNAcentral
UUUCCGUAGGUGAACCUGCGGAGGGAUCAUUAUUGAAUAACAGAGGUGCGAGGCCUUUGGGUGAGACGCUACGUCUUGCACGCGCGAGUGCCCUCACACGCAUCCAUCUCACCCCUGUAUGCACCACCACGUGUACCACCCUUUGACUUGUUCGCAGGGGUGCGUACGUUAUCACUAAGACUAAAUUUUCAGUAAAGGAUGUAUUUUUUGUGUUUGCGAUGACGCAAUCAAUACAACUUUCGACAACGCAUCUCUUGGCUCGCGCAACGAAGACGAACC